RNAcentral lists this ribosomal RNA (414 nucleotides) under uncultured eukaryote. RNAcentral's name for it is "SSU rRNA". It matches the Rfam family "Eukaryotic small subunit ribosomal RNA", at positions 567 to 990 of the family's 1831-position model. The record is from RNAcentral.
CCAGCAGCCGCGGUAAUUCCAGCUCCAAUAGCGUAUAUUAAAGUUGUUGCAGUUAAAAAGCUCGUAGUUGGAUUUCUGGGAGGGUGCCAAUGUCCGCCGACGUGCGUGUGCAGCGGCGCCCUUCCAUCCUUCUGUUAACGCCUCUUGGCAUUCAUUUGCUGGUGGCGGGCUCAGAUAUUUUACCUUGAGAAAAUUAGAGUGUUUCAGGCAGGCUUGCGCCGGAAUACAUUAGCAUGGAAUAAUAGAAUAGGACUUGAACCUCUUCUGUUGGUCUGAGGGGUUGAAGUAAUGAUUAAUAGGGAUAGUUGGGGGCAUUAGUACUUAACUGUCAGAGGUGAAAUUCUCGGAUUUGUUAAAGACUAACUUAUGCGAAAGCAUUUGCCAAGGAUGUUUUCAUCAAUCAAGAACGAAAGU